This 390-nucleotide ribosomal RNA is filed under the name uncultured bacterium. RNAcentral's name for it is "bacterial SSU rRNA". It matches the Rfam family "Bacterial small subunit ribosomal RNA", at positions 28 to 414 of the family's 1533-position model. The record is from RNAcentral.
GACGAACGCUGGCGGCGCGCUUAACACAUGCAAGUCGAGCGAGAACCUGGCUUCGGCCAGGGGAAAGCGGCGAACGGGUGAGUAUCACGUGAGUUAUCCACCCUCAGUACCGGGAUAGCCCGAGGAAACUCGGAUUAAUACCGGAUGGCCCAACAGUUCUUCGGGACGGUUGGAAAAGGUAGCUUCGGCCUCCGACUGGGGACGAGCUCGCGGCGGAUUAGCUUGUUGGUGGGGUAAUGGCCUACCAAGGCGACGAUCCGUAGCUGGUCUGAGAGGACGAUCAGCCACACUGGGACUGAGACACGGCCCAGACUCCUACGGGAGGCAGCAGUGGGGAAUCUUGCGCAAUGGGCGAAAGCCUGACGCAGCGACGCCGCGUGGGGAAGAAGG